Hydra vulgaris (swiftwater hydra) is the source of this 363-nucleotide non-coding RNA. The record is from RefSeq and is a predicted model, not a curated record. Lineage: Eukaryota; Metazoa; Cnidaria; Hydrozoa; Anthoathecata; Hydridae.
AAUAUAAAUCAGAUUGAAGAUGAAGGUUUGUAUUUAUUUAGAUGUGUAUUAUGUUACAGAUGUAUAAUGUUAUGUUGUUAGUUCUUAAAUGUAUGUUUAUUUUUAGUUGCUGAAUUACUAAGAAAUGAUGACAAUAUUGAAGCAAACGUUGGUAAUAAUAUUGAAACAACAUCUUCUGUUUCGAAUGAAAAUGAUUCCUUAUCAUUCGAAGAAUAUAAAAGUUACCGCUCCCAACACCCAGGACCUCUCUCAGAGAGGUCCUUCAACAAAUGGAUAGAUAAUGGCGAAAUGAAUGAGCCCUCCUUUAAAUGGAGGGCUCAUCCAUACCGGGGUGUUAAGAGACACCGAAGAAAAAACAGCAAC